RNAcentral lists this long non-coding RNA (1263 nucleotides) under Felis catus (domestic cat). Its description in RNAcentral is "lncRNA (ENSFCAG00000047037.1)". The record is from RNAcentral. Lineage: Eukaryota; Metazoa; Chordata; Mammalia; Carnivora; Felidae.
AUGGGACAGGAUCCCAGGAAUUUCUUCCUCUGUCCACUCAUCAAUCAGUGCUGUCUCCGGCUCCGUCAUCACAGCCGCUGGGCAGGUGCGCUGGGGACUGCUGACUGGCCCAGGGGAACCUGUGGGCAGGCUGACCGCCUUACCAGGCCAUCUAUGAUGUCGCACCUAGCAAGAUUUCCUCAGAGACCACACAGCCUGAUCCUAGAACCCACCUGGAGAAAGGGGCGCGUUUCCAAUUUGUCUCCUUUUGGUCUUGCUUCUUCGGAACAGCGCAUGCCCCACUCCCCCACUCCCCCACUCCCCCAGGCCAGGCGCCCUUCCAAGGCCAUCAGGAGGUGCUCACUGGUGCAGAGGGAGAUGGAGACGAGGUGCCAGGCCUGGGGCACUGUCUCGGAUUAAACUGUCUUGAUCCGGGACUUCUGAUAAAAGCAGGCCGGAAGCAGCGUCCCUGGUUCAUCCCCAGAUAGACAUGUAGAUAAGUGAACCGAUUCAAGGAAUAGAGGGUAAGGGCUCCGUGGGAAAUGCUGAGAAACUUUUGAAGGUUUCAAAGAUGAAAAAAAGCUUAAAUGUAGGCCGGCCCCAGAGGAUGCACCCUGGAGGCAGCUCUCAGGGAGGGAAGUGCAGGCAGAGGAACCCGCCCGAGGGCAGAGGCCUGGAGGCGAAAGAAAAGGCAGAUCCGGGGCGUGUUCGGGAAAGGUGGGGCUGACCCUUAGGCUGUGGUGCCGGAAGUAAGUAGGGACGUGGGAAGCCGGACCGUGCAGGGGGCCGGAAGCCAGGCUAGGGAUGUCAGACGCCCUACCAGAGACACCCCACGGUUAUUGAAGGUGUCUGGGGAGAGCGGCCCGAUCAGAGCAGUGCUUCGGCAAACAAGUCCCACAGCAGCGUCUGCCGGACUGGGGGACAGAAGGCCAGGAAGAAGGGGGACCGGCGGGGAUGGCAGGCAUGAGAAGGAGGAUGGUGAGGAGGAGGAGGAGGGAGAGGAUGGCAGGUAAGCCUUAGAACGGCAUGCACUGUUUCAAGCACGUCUCACGUCCCUAAGGUAAUGCCCACACCACCACUGGGAGGGAGACUGCCAUUUUCACCAUUUUACAGAUAACAAAACCGGGGGAUAGAGAGGUUAAGUCACUUGUCCGGGGUCACCCGCCUAAGAGGUGGAAGACCCAGGGUGCCGCCAGAUGCUCUAAGCUGUUUAUUCAGGCAAAACAGGAGGGCCUGAGCGAAAGUGGGGAGCGCUAGAGGCGGGCUGCGAGACCGUGGGCCCAG